GACGAACCACACAAGCGUUAUUCGGAAUUACUGGGCUUAAAGGGUGCGUAGGCGGCGCAGAAAGUAGGGUGUGAAAUCCCUCGGCUCAACCGAGGAACUGCGCCCUAAACUACUGUGCUCGAGGGAGGUAGAGGUGAGCGGAACUUAGGGUGGAGCGGUGAAAUGCGUUGAUAUCCUAAGGAACACCGGUGGCGAAAGCGGCUCACUGGACCUCUUCUGACGCUGAGGCACGAAAGCGUGGGGAGCAAACAGG
RNAcentral lists this ribosomal RNA (253 nucleotides) under uncultured bacterium. RNAcentral describes it as "partial 16S ribosomal RNA". It matches the Rfam family "Bacterial small subunit ribosomal RNA", at positions 524 to 776 of the family's 1533-position model. The record is from RNAcentral.